ACACGUAUCCACGUUUAACCCCAAUUCUUAGGAUGCCUAUUUGAGAAAAGGCCUUUGACUCUUCGUAGUGAAAGGCUCUGCUCUACACUUGAUCGCAGCACGGUUAAAGUGUAGGGCUAUUAAGCAGGCGUCCUAAGCUUUGAUCCCUUUUCAGGAACAAAUCUUCGGAGGCGAUCCUGAUUAGGGAAUUCAAAACCCCUUUUUUUUUCUAACUAGAAGCCGUCUCUUUGCAGACCGCUUUUAACCGAAUACUGUA
Molecule: unclassified non-coding RNA, 256 nt
Filed under: uncultured fungus
Lineage: Eukaryota; Fungi
Description: sequence contains ITS1, 5.8S rRNA gene
Source: RNAcentral